CUACGGGUGGCUGCAGUGAGGAAUAUUGCACAAUGGGGGGAACCCUGAUGCAGCAACGCCGCGUGGAGGAUGACGCAUUUCGGUGUGUAAACUCCUUUUAUAUGUCAAGAAAAUGACGGUAGCAUAUGAAUAAGCACCGGCUAACUCCGUGCCAGCAGCCGCGGUAAUACGGAGGGUGCAAGCGUUACUCGGAAUCACUGGGCGUAAAGGACGCGUAGGCGGGUUGGAAAGUCAGGUGUGAAAUCCUACAGCUUAACUGUAGAACUGCACUUGAAACUUCUAAUCUAGAGUAUGGGAGGGGGAGAUGGAAUUAGUGGUGUAGGGGUAAAAUCUGUAGAUAUCACCAGGAAUACCUAAAGCGAAGGCGAUCUCCUGGAACAUUACUGACGCUAAGGCGUGAAAGCGUGGGGAGCAAACAGGAUUAGAUACCCGGGUAGUC
RNAcentral lists this ribosomal RNA (439 nucleotides) under uncultured bacterium. RNAcentral's name for it is "partial 16S ribosomal RNA". It matches the Rfam family "Bacterial small subunit ribosomal RNA", at positions 339 to 795 of the family's 1533-position model. The record is from RNAcentral.